GGAAUAUGAAAAUAUAAGGGAAGAUGCCACUGAUAGUCAUCUCAAGGAUGUAGAGAAUGAUGGUUUUUUCUCCAUCUUGGCCAAACCAAAGGUUGGCGAGUUGGCAAAGUCAUUCCUCUGGGAACCCUUUCUCCCAGUACCCUUUCUCCCAGUAUACAUCUAUCUAAGCAUAAGCUGCAAGUUUUGCCUGUCAUACAACAACCUAAUGCUGCACUCAUUGGUUUCGUUACACAGCAUCAAUGUGACUAGUAUGACAAAGAUACACAUUUCUAUGCGAUGACAGAAUUUUAACUGUCGAAGAAUUUGUUCGCACAAAGACCGACAAGACAAACACUGAACCAACCAUUGAGCAUGAUCAUCGUGCUGAUCACAUGGCAGGAAGUUUCAACCUGAAAAACAGCUUAACACCGAGAAUGGAUUCACCGGUAACCAACAAGAAAAACGCUACACUGAAGCAAGUAAUGGAGCAUAUGACAGAGACUAAUAGCAAUUUCAGUUUUCUGAUGAAUGAAAAUGAACAAGUUACUGGUUUGAUAACAGUGAGAGAUAUAAUUCUGCAAUUUGCACCUCCAUGUGUGAAAUUGGUGGUGGCGGAUUUUUUUAAUUGGCUUUGGAGCAAAGUGGAUGUCAUGUUAGUAAUGGAACUAUCAUUCGUAAUCAUUGAUCAAGGUAUGUGUUCCAACGACAAACACAGAAUCUGUUCAGGAAUUUGGAUUUUCUACUGUUAAAAAUGACAGUCGAAACGAUCUUAAUUGUUAGUAAAAAUCAGAUGGCUGA
Long non-coding RNA from Trifolium pratense (red clover), 777 nucleotides. RefSeq lists it as uncharacterized. NCBI's taxonomy places the organism in Eukaryota, Viridiplantae, Streptophyta, Magnoliopsida, Fabales, Fabaceae. The transcript has 3 exons. The record is from RefSeq and is a predicted model, not a curated record.